This 461-nucleotide ribosomal RNA is filed under the name uncultured bacterium. RNAcentral describes it as "bacterial SSU rRNA". It matches the Rfam family "Bacterial small subunit ribosomal RNA", at positions 28 to 489 of the family's 1533-position model. The record is from RNAcentral.
GACGAACGCUGGCGGCGUGCCUAACACAUGCAAGUCAACUUGACUGAAGGAGCAAUCUGACAGUAGAGUGGCGCAAGGGUGCGUAACGCGUAAGUAACUUGCCCAAGGUAAGGAAUAACGUCGAGAAAUCGGCGCUAAUACCUCAUAAUGCAGCGGAUCCGCAUGGAUAUGUUGUUAAAGGUUUACCGCCUUGGGAUAGGCUUGCGUCUGAUUAGCUAGUUGGUGUGGUAACGGCACACCAAGGCUACGAUCAGUAACUGGUCUGAGAGGAUGAUCAGUCACACUGGAACUGAGACACGGUCCAGACUCCUACGGGAGGCAGCAGUGAGGAAUAUUGGGCAAUGCUCGAAAGAGUGACCCAGCAACGCCGCGUGGAGGAUGAAGGUAUUCUAUAUCGUAAACUCCUGUGAGAGCAGACGAAAGACAGAUUAUUAAUCUGGAUGACUGUAUGCUCAGAGGAA